This 349-nucleotide small RNA is filed under the name Pongo abelii (Sumatran orangutan). Its description in RNAcentral is "retained intron". The record is from RNAcentral. Lineage: Eukaryota; Metazoa; Chordata; Mammalia; Primates; Hominidae.
AGACUGACUAUUUGGAUGGAAGUUUUAGCACAAGCACAAAUGCCAUUCACAUUCGUAUGUAUGCAACAAGGAAAGCUAAUUUACAGGCAUCCCAUUGAAUUGUGGGAAAUCCUAGGAAAUUUUUAAGAAGCAAGGAAUUAUAAGUUACCGCCAGGGAGGCCCUGUCAUCGCGGUGCAAGUGGAGAAUGAAUAUGGCUCAUUCAAUAAGGAUAAAACAUACAUGCCGUAUCUCCACAAGGUAAGAGGGCCUUGGUUUGGCCCCAUGUUUACAUGCCUCCUUCCUCCUCUGUGCUUUUCUGAUUCCUGGGUGCAUGAGUGAUAGGGCUGGACACUGUGCAUUCUGAGAAUA